GGUGUAUUACAUGAACAACUAGAUUAUGAUAUAAACUUAAUUGUGGACAAAUGGAUUGAAUUGAGGACAAAAAUGGAAGAUGACUUGUGAAGAGUGCAGGACAUCAAAGACAAGUGGAACACAAUUAUUCAAAUUAUGAAAAGGGGGUAAUAUUGUAAACUUGAGACAAGAUCUUACUUCUAAUGGAAAAGAAUGGUGCAAAAUGAGUUUGAUCAUUUUAGUUGCUAUUGAAGUUUAGUUGAGUUCUAUGCUGCUUGAAUGGGCUUCCAAAUUAUAUGCAAUCCUUUCUGAAAACACUCUUAUGGGAGCAAUUUGCAACUUUUUAAUGUCCUUGGCAUGUCUUCGUUGGCCUUUUUAGCCUGCAAUCUUUUCUAAUGACAAUCAUGGAUGAGAGCAAUUUGCACUCUUUAUUGUCCUUGGCAUGUCUUUACUAUUCUUUUUGGGCUUUUGGCUAUUUUUUUUUGUUACAUGACCCAAAAACUUUUGGCUGGCUUAAUUUUACCUAUCGGCCCUUAACUUAAGGGGUUAUUUUAGCACCGUCCUUCAAUUUCAAUUUGUAUUAUAAAUAUCCUUUAAUUUCAAUUU
This 585-nucleotide unclassified non-coding RNA is filed under the name Hevea brasiliensis (rubber tree). The record is from RNAcentral. Lineage: Eukaryota; Viridiplantae; Streptophyta; Magnoliopsida; Malpighiales; Euphorbiaceae.